ACUAUUGUCACGGGUUACCGCGGCUGCUGGCACGGAGUUAGCCGGUGCUUCUUCUGUGAGUGAUGUCCUUCCUGCCGGUUAUUGACCCGCAGGCCUUCUUCCUCACUGAAAGUGCUUUACAACCCGAAGGCCUUCUUCACACACGCGGCAUGGCUGGAUCAGGGUUGCCCCCAUUGUCCAAUAUUCCCCACUGCUGCCUCCCGUAGGAGUCUGGGCCGUGUCUCAUCCCAGUGUGGCUGAUCAUCCUCUCAGACCAGCUACGGAUCGUCGCCUUGGUGAGCCGUUACCUCACCAACCAGCUAAUCCGACAUAGGCUCAUCCGAUAGCGCGAGGCCCGAAGGUCCCCC
This 347-nucleotide ribosomal RNA is filed under the name uncultured bacterium. RNAcentral describes it as "partial 16S ribosomal RNA". The record is from RNAcentral.